Molecule: transfer RNA, 73 nt
Filed under: Ovis aries (sheep)
Lineage: Eukaryota; Metazoa; Chordata; Mammalia; Artiodactyla; Bovidae
Rfam family: tRNA
About the family: Transfer RNA (tRNA) molecules are approximately 80 nucleotides in length. Their secondary structure includes four short double-helical elements and three loops (D, anti-codon, and T loops).
Source: Rfam by way of RNAcentral
UCCCUGAUAGUCCAGUGGUUAAGACUCCCCGCUCCCAAUGCAGGAGGCCUGGGUUCAAUCCCUGGUCAGGGAA